GGACCACCAGUGAGUCGUAGAAAUGAUCCCGUGGUGGAUCGUGGGUUAAUUGCGUGCUCCAGGUCCAUGUUGGAGACGUUGAUUGUCCGGGGCGAGCCCAACGUCUCAGUUCGUUGCCGAAGGUUCAAGCAGUUUUUUUCUUCCCUUUUUCCUCUCGACCUUGUAUUGCUUCUUUAUCUGUCGUUUUAUAAAUUCCUCAUGUAUCUGUAUAAUGCUCUGUAUACUGUAUUGGACGUGUGGUUGUUAUUUAUGCACUGGGUUGCUGCUGUUGUUUUA
This is a long non-coding RNA of Ziziphus jujuba (common jujube), 276 nucleotides long. RefSeq lists it as uncharacterized. The record is from RefSeq and is a predicted model, not a curated record. The transcript has 2 exons. NCBI's taxonomy places the organism in Eukaryota, Viridiplantae, Streptophyta, Magnoliopsida, Rosales, Rhamnaceae.